Molecule: long non-coding RNA, 1157 nt
Organism: Polypterus senegalus (gray bichir)
Lineage: Eukaryota; Metazoa; Chordata; Cladistia; Polypteriformes; Polypteridae
Exons: 2
Source: RefSeq, a predicted model, not a curated record
UCAAAUAGAAUACAGACCUACUGCUGGUAAAAAUCCACAAAUAGAAGCUCUAGAAAUAGCCAGCAGAUUUUUUUUUUCAACGACGGAGUUAUCCGCGUACACAUCUUGAUGCUCUGAAGUUGUGAAGACCACGAUGCACUGACCUCUUCAGUCGGGCCUCUCCUGCAUGAAGACCAGGCGCAAACUUCUGUCAUCCUAAGUCAUUGUGUGAAGAAAUGUUAAAGGGAAGAACUUCAAUUUUGGACAUGAAGAAUUCUGAAAAAACAGUGUUCUCUAUGACAACAGUAUUAAAAACAGCAUUUUACAUUUUUUGGGUGAUAAGGUCUUGAGCCCACAAAGGAUCCUGUAUAUUUUUAAGUAGCUGCCUUUUAUGUUGGCUAAAGAUCAUUUUAAAUAAUUACUGCACAGACUGUAUACAGCAUAACUUGUUCAAAGAUAGCAACAGCAGGAAAAAAAUAUUAUAUAUAAAGUCUUAAAUUGUAAAUAUUUUCAUAUGUAGUAAGUUGCCUUUAUAAUUCUGUGUAUGUGUACUGUUUUGAAAGUUUUUAUAAUUUAUAUUGUAUUAGUUAUUUUUUGCUACAGAAUGUGAUGAAGGCAUUUUUGUGUUUGAAACAAAGGUCAUUGGAGUCUUCAUUUUUGUUGUUAGCUGUAGCUAAAUUUGCACUAAAAAAAUCAUUGCUCACCCACUCUUCCUGGAAGUGACUGUUGUGGCUUAGCUAUCCUGCUGUACUGUGAGGCCAGUGUAAUAGUUAAUUAUAUUUUAGAAGAAAUCACAGACAUUUCCCAGAUUUUUUCUGAUUGCAUUUGAAUCUCUUGAAUGUACUGUAUAAACUGUUGAGUCAGUAUAAAUAGAGGUUUUAUCACUGAUUUGAAUAGUGACAAGACAAAAAUAACAUUCCUUCAUUUGUACUUCUCAUCAAAGGCCCAGUGCACAAGCCAAGCAAUUUCCUCAACAGUUUGCAUUCUGUUCAAUUCUCAGGGUCUCCCAUUGCAUCCAAUUGAGCACAGUUGAGUAUAAGAGACAGUUACCAUUUCCAGUGUAUGUCUGGUCAUUUCUUUACUGGCUUCCCUUACUCCAGGCAAAAGGAUCAGGAAAUUAAUCAGUAAGUCAUUACCCCCCCAGUCAAAAAUAACCUACAAUAAAAGAAGGAAACAUU